Molecule: ribosomal RNA, 492 nt
Filed under: uncultured bacterium
Lineage: Bacteria
Description: partial 16S ribosomal RNA
Rfam family: Bacterial small subunit ribosomal RNA
Source: RNAcentral
AGUGAACGCUGGCGGUAGGCCUAACACAUGCAAGUCGAACGGCAGCACAGUAAGAGCUUGCUCUUACGGGUGGCGAGUGGCGGACGGGUGAGGAAUACAUCGGAAUCUACUUUUUCGUGGGGGAUAACGUAGGGAAACUUACGCUAAUACCGCAUACGACCUACGGGUGAAAGCAGGGGAUCUUCUGACCUUGCGCGAUUGAAUGAGCCGAUGUCGGAUUAGCUAGUUGGCGGGGUAAAGGCCCACCAAGGCGACGAUCCGUAGCUGGUCUGAGAGGAUGAUCAGCCACACUGGAACUGAGACACGGUCCAGACUACUACGGGAGGCAGCAGUGGGGAAUAUUGGACAAUGGUCGCAAGCCUGAUCCAGCCAUACCGCGUGGGUGACGAAGGCCUUCGGGUUGUAAAGCCCUUUUGUUGGGAAAGAAACGCAGCAGGUUAAUACCCCGCUGUUCUGACGGUAACCAAAGAAUAAGCACCGGCUAACUUCGUG